This 433-nucleotide ribosomal RNA is filed under the name uncultured bacterium. RNAcentral describes it as "partial 16S ribosomal RNA". It matches the Rfam family "Bacterial small subunit ribosomal RNA", at positions 29 to 507 of the family's 1533-position model. The record is from RNAcentral.
AACGAACGCUGGCGGCAUGCCUAACACAUGCAAAUCCAACGAGACCUUCGGGUCUAGUGGCGCACGGGUGCGUAACGCGUGGGAACCUGCCCUUAGGUUCGGAAUAACUCCCCGAAAGGGGUGCUAAUACCGGAUAAUGUCUUCGGACCAAAGAUUUAUCGCCUUUGGAUGGGCCCGCGUUGGAUUAGCUAGUUGGUAGGGUAAAAGCCUACCAAGGCGACGAUCCAUAGCUGGUCUGAGAGGAUGAUCAGCCACACUGGGACUGAGACACGGCCCAGACUCCUACGGGAGGCAGCAGUGGGGAAUAUUGGACAAUGGGCGAAAGCCUGAUCCAGCAAUGCCGCGUGAGUGAUGAAGGCCUUAGGGUUGUAAAGCUCUUUUACCCGGGAUGAUAAUGACAGUACCGGGAGAAUAAGCUCCGGCUAACUCCGUG